ACGAACGCUGGCGGCGUGCUUAACACAUGCAAGUCGAACGGUGAAGCGCCUUCCUUUUUGGUGGGUGUGGAUGAGUGGCGAACGGGUGAGUAACACGUGAGUAACCUGCCCCCUUCUUCUGGAUAACCGCAUGAAAGUGUGGCUAAUACGGGAUAUUCUGGGUCUGUCGCAUGAUGGGUCUGGGAAAGAUAUUGUUUCGGUGGGGGAUGGGCUCGCGGCCUAUCAGCUUGUUGGUGGGGUGAUGGCCAACCAAGGCGGUGACGGGUAGCCGGCCUGAGAGGGUGGACGGUCACACUGGGACUGAGACACGGCCCAGACUCCUACGGGAGGCAGCAGUGGGGAAUAUUGCACAAUGGGCGCAAGCCUGAUGCAGCGACGCCGCGUGAGGGAUGGAGGCCUUCGGGUUGUGAACCUCUUUCGCCAGUGAAGCAGGCCUGCCUCGUUUGUGGGUGGGUUGACGGUAGCUGGAUAAGAAGCGCCGGCUAACUACGUG
RNAcentral lists this ribosomal RNA (493 nucleotides) under uncultured bacterium. Its description in RNAcentral is "partial 16S ribosomal RNA". It matches the Rfam family "Bacterial small subunit ribosomal RNA", at positions 29 to 507 of the family's 1533-position model. The record is from RNAcentral.